This 451-nucleotide long non-coding RNA is filed under the name Phaseolus vulgaris (common bean). Its description in RNAcentral is "long non-coding RNA (PVUL_LNC004187)". Lineage: Eukaryota; Viridiplantae; Streptophyta; Magnoliopsida; Fabales; Fabaceae. The record is from RNAcentral.
CAGAAACUCGCCGAAAGAAAGUGUGUUUUCCCGUUACAGAAUCAAUUUUGCUUUUUUACUCUCGUGGAUCCAAAGGUAAUUGUUAUUAUAACAAUGUAUUUUCAUUUCAUUGCUCAUUGCUCUGUUCUAAUAAUCAAUGCAUGUUGUUUUCAAAUUCCAUUGUGAGAUUAAUUAUGACCGAUCUUGAUUCAAAGGAGUGAAAUUAUACAUAAUAGCAGCUUUAGACUAAUGUGGAAAACCAACGGUGUUUCAGUUGCAACAACCUUGGAUAAACUAUAUAUGCUGUAGCAGAUAUAUGUCAGGUAAUACCACUUGUUUUCGUUGCAUCCUUCGUUUCAUUUAUUGUUCCAAGGGAGGCAAUUGUCUUUGCUCCCCAUAUUUUCCAAUUAAAUUAAAUCAAUGACUAUAGAAGAUUUUGGAUUAUCGAUAGUUCAUAAAAUUAUAUAUUGUC